GGUUAUGGCUCAGUGAUACAGCACUUGCCUAGCAUGAGUGAGGCCUGGGUUCGAUCCUCAGCACCA
Molecule: transfer RNA, 66 nt
Filed under: Marmota monax (woodchuck)
Lineage: Eukaryota; Metazoa; Chordata; Mammalia; Rodentia; Sciuridae
Description: tRNA.Ala
Source: RNAcentral